CCUACGGGCGACAGCAGUGAGGAAUAUUGGUCAAUGGACGAGAGUCUGAACCAGCCAAGUAGCGUGAAGGAUGACUGCCCUAUGGGUUGUAAACUUCUUUUAUAUGGGAAUAAAAUGUUCCACGUGUGGGAUUUUGUAUGUACCAUAUGAAUAAGGAUCGGCUAACUCCGUGCCAGCAGCCGCGGUAAUACGGAGGAUCCGAGCGUUAUCCGGAUUUAUUGGGUUUAAAGGGUGCGUAGGUGGAUUGUUAAGUCAGUUGUGAAAGUUUGCGGCUCAACCGUAAAAUUGCAGUUGAAACUGGCAGUCUUGAGUACAGUAGAGGUGGGCGGAAUUCGUGGUGUAGCGGUGAAAUGCUUAGAUAUCACGAAGAACUCCGAUUGCGAAGGCAGUUCACUGGACUGCAACUGACACUGAGGCUCGAAAGUGUGGGUAUCAAACAGGAUUAGAUACCCGGGUAGUC
Molecule: ribosomal RNA, 460 nt
Filed under: uncultured bacterium
Lineage: Bacteria
Description: partial 16S ribosomal RNA
Rfam family: Bacterial small subunit ribosomal RNA
Source: RNAcentral